This is a long non-coding RNA of Bombus impatiens (common eastern bumble bee), 1900 nucleotides long. RefSeq lists it as uncharacterized. The transcript is spliced from 2 exons. The record is from RefSeq and is a predicted model, not a curated record. NCBI's taxonomy places the organism in Eukaryota, Metazoa, Arthropoda, Insecta, Hymenoptera, Apidae.
UUAACCUUUCGCACUGGAGGUCUUUUUCGGUGGGGCGUAGCAGCUACUCCGGAUGAUUUUAUAUAGAAGUUAACUCGCAAAAAAAAUUAUAUUCUAAUAACUUGUCUAUAUUUACACGUUUGGAAAUAUGAUUUUGUAAUAUUAAUUUCCGUAUUUUUUUUAUGAUAAUUUAUAAACCAUUCACCAAGAUGCGUUCUUCAAUAUAAUUAAUUUCAUUUUUCAACAGUUGAAAAUCAAGUUCAUCUUCGUUUCAGCUAAUUUCACUUGCGAAGACUAGUUUUUAAGGGUUUCUAAACUAUAAUACCUUUGCCAUGAUCGUCGAAUCCAAACUAAAUUUGGAGACGUUGUCAGAACCAUAGCUUCAAAGGCAUAUGGGAUUAAAUAUUUGAUCUCCAUUUUAAAGUCUAACGCCUUACGCUUGCUAACAAAGAACGCAAACAACUAAGGAACCAAUUUAUCUACCAAUAUCGCACCCAUCAAUCGCAGAUGUCGAAAUCUAACGUAAACAGGGACUGUCGCUUCUCGCUCUCCACUGGAGUUGCAGCUCGGAACACCGUGGUGGCUGACAGUCGCCUCUCGAGUGCAAAGGGUUAAUUAAGUUCAAAUAUAUUACGCUAAUAGUACUUUUACUAAGCUGAUAGUACUAUUACGUUAAUAGUACCUUUUUCACGCGAUUGCCAAACGAAAAGUUCUGUAUCGCGAGAGAGAAACGUAGAAUCUAUUUGGUUUGGCAACUAAGUGAUUGCGGAUUUUGUCAGUACCAUCUAAUGACAAAAUCCGCAACCAUUUAGUUGCCAAGCCAAUGUUUGACGAACGUUUCGUUGGAAAGCAACAAGGGCGCAACUUUUUCGUAGCCAUCGUAAAUGGACCCAAGGCGUAUCGGAAAUACGCUCUCUCGGCGUCGCGUAAAAACAGGAAUUCAAUUCCGUUGCCGGCUAACACGAGCUCCGGUUAAAAAUAAGCUUUCCAGCUAAAGCAAACCCGCGGAAUGUUAAUUCCCUGCUUUCGAUCGGAUCCUGCAAUUAGCUCUAGCAGACCGCUGAUUCCGUAAAACAGCAGAGUUCCGCAUGCGUUUCAUUACAAGCGUAUUCUUACUUUAAAUGCGGCUCGAAGCUCGCGAGUAUUAGAUCGAUUUGAAAGUUCUGUCUGUUUGGUAGUUUCGGUUUUCAAGGAAAGCAGAUCGACUGUACUUUUAUUCGUCGAGUCUACGAUACAGUGUGCGUACGUAUAUUUUUAUCUUGCCGAUUUAUUUAUUUUCCAUUCUAUAAGAGUCUCUUAGUUUUUGUCGUUAGAACAUUUCUAUCGAUCUCUCCGUUUAAAAAAAAAAAAAAAAAAAAAAAUCGAUUCGUCGAGUGAAAUUUUUGCCAAGUAAUUUCUAGAUUUUUUGCUAAAUUGCCAAGUAUUUCCAUUUAUAUUUUGCCACUUCGUUGCGUAUGUCAUCGAGUCACAGAUAUUUGGCAAUGUGGUUUCUUCAGUUUAGUUUCUUCCGCAAUUCUUCAAUUUUUAGACGUUAGACGUUAGAUUUCUAUCGUUUUCCGCGUAUCUCGUCCAUAGAAAGAAAAUCGCGAAAAUUACGAGAAUGUAUACGAUUUAAUCAAAUAUCUCGAUUUGCUGGAGAAUUUGUAACGCGAUGCAACAGCAACAUCGUGUUUCUAAUAUUACAUGCGUUGUCCGUGUUUUAUGAACUUCCCUUCCGCGUUAAAAAUAAACGUUUAUUUUUUUUUUUUUUCAAAGGGUUCAGGAAUAUUUUCACCGCUAUUUCCACAAUUUAUAACAUCCCUCUUAGCCUAUUCAUGACAAGACACCUACCCCAUUCGUCUAACCUUUUAUUUCGAAGCUCGUCGAACUAUUUGUUCCAACGAAUCACUUCGAAUUUCCAAAUUGAUCCAAAAAUUUGCUU